GUUUUAAUAGUUUAAUAAAAAUUUUAGUUUUGUAAACUAAAGAUGACAAAAUUCUUAAAAUU
Molecule: transfer RNA, 62 nt
Filed under: Scorpiops tibetanus
Lineage: Eukaryota; Metazoa; Arthropoda; Arachnida; Scorpiones; Euscorpiidae
Description: tRNA-Thr
Source: RNAcentral